UGGGGAAUAUUGGACAAUGGGCGCAAGCCUGAUCCAGCCAUGCCGCGUGAGUGAUGAAGGCCCUAGGGUUGUAAAGCUCUUUCAGCGAGGAGGAUAAUGACGUUACUCGCAGAAGAAGCCCCGGCUAACUUCGUGCCAGUAGCCGCGGUAAUACGAAGGGGGCUAGCGUUGUUCGGAAUCACUGGGCGUAAAGCGCACGUAGGCGGACUUUUAAGUCAGGGGUGAAAUCCCGGGGCUCAACCUCGGAACUGCCUUUGAUACUGGAAAGUCUGGAGUCCGAGAGAGGUGAGUGGAACUCCGAGUGUAGAGGUGAAAUUCGUAGAUAUUCGGAAGAACACCAGUGGCGAAGGCGGCUCACUGGCUCGGUACUGACGCUGAGGUGCGAAAAGCGUGGGGAGCAAAACAGGAUUAGAUACCCUGGUAGUCCACGCCGUAAAACGAUGGAAGCUAGCCGUCAGGGUGCAUGCAUCUUGGUGGCGCAGUUAACGCAUUAAAGCUUCCCGCCUGGGGAGUACGGUCGC
RNAcentral lists this ribosomal RNA (521 nucleotides) under uncultured bacterium. RNAcentral's name for it is "partial 16S ribosomal RNA". It matches the Rfam family "Bacterial small subunit ribosomal RNA", at positions 355 to 889 of the family's 1533-position model. The record is from RNAcentral.